AAGCGGUGGAGCAUGUGGUUUAAUUCGAAGCAACGCGAAGAACCUUACCAGGUCUUGACAUCCCUGACAACCCAAGAGAUGGGCGUUCCCCUUCGGGGGACAGGGUGACAGGUGGUGCAUGGUUGUCGUCAGCUCGUGUCGUGAGAUGUUGGGUUAAGUCCCGCAACGAGCGCAACCCUCGCCUCUAGUUGCCAGCAUUCGGUUGGGCACUCUAGAGGGACUGCCGGCGACAAGUCGGAGGAAGGUGGGGAUGACGUCAAAUCAUCAUGCCCCUUAUGACCUGGGCUACACACGUGCUACAAUGGGCGGUACAAAGGGCUGCGAACCCGCGAGGGGGAGCCAAUCCCAUAAAGCCAGUCGUAGUCCGGAUCGCAGUCUGCAACUCGACUGCGUGAAGUCGGAAUCGCUAGUAAUCGUGGAUCAGCAUGUCACGGUGAAUACGUUCCCGGGUCUU
Molecule: ribosomal RNA, 454 nt
Filed under: uncultured Geobacillus sp.
Lineage: Bacteria; Bacillati; Bacillota; Bacilli; Caryophanales; Anoxybacillaceae
Description: bacterial SSU rRNA
Rfam family: Bacterial small subunit ribosomal RNA
Source: RNAcentral